AGACGAACCGUCCAAACGUUAUUCGGAAUCACUGGGCUUAAAGGGCGCGUAGGCGGCCGAGCGGGUCACGGGUGAAAUCCUCCAGCUUAACUGGAGAACUGCCCUUGAUACCACUGCGGCUCGAGGAAGGAAGGGGCAAUGGGAACUGUCGGUGGAGCGGUGAAAUGCGUUGAUAUCGACAGGAACGCCGGUGGCGAAAGCGCAUUGCUGGUCCUUUUCUGACGCUGAGGCGCGAAAGCCAGGGGAGCAAACGGGAUUAGAUACCCCGGUAGUCCUGGCCUUAAACGAUGAGAACUAGGUAGUGGGUCCGACCUGGGCACACUGCCGAAGCGAAAGUUUUAAGUUCUCCGCCUGGGGAGUAUGGUCGCAAGGCUGAA
RNAcentral lists this ribosomal RNA (377 nucleotides) under uncultured bacterium. RNAcentral's name for it is "bacterial SSU rRNA". It matches the Rfam family "Bacterial small subunit ribosomal RNA", at positions 523 to 898 of the family's 1533-position model. The record is from RNAcentral.